AUGAGAUGUGGAACAUCUUCCAGACAGCUUGGCCAGGAACUUUUGAAACAUCUGCUGUUCUCUCUUCUCCCAUCUUCACCUUCCUGUCAUCCAGCCUGUGAUGGGUAUAAUGAUGGGGAAGCAAAAGCGGACCUCUUGCUUCCAGGACUGCAGCCUCUGGAUGAAACAAUGCACAGUCUUGAUAUCAAAAGUCAAGUUUUAUACUCAGAAGACCAUGCCAUUCAGACAUUCUCAGCCUCUUGCAGACAAGUCAAAGGCCACCUGCAAAACUUGACAAUUGGCUGUGUGUUAAGACACGUCAUAAAUCUGCUGAGCUUUGAUAUUUGCAGGACAUAA
RNAcentral lists this long non-coding RNA (336 nucleotides) under Apteryx haastii (Great spotted kiwi). Its description in RNAcentral is "lncRNA (ENSAHAG00000008565.1)". Lineage: Eukaryota; Metazoa; Chordata; Aves; Apterygiformes; Apterygidae. The record is from RNAcentral.